RNAcentral lists this non-coding RNA (78 nucleotides) under Nitrosospira sp. Its description in RNAcentral is "SAH sequence". It matches the Rfam family "SAH (S-adenosyl-L-homocysteine) riboswitch aptamer". The record is from RNAcentral. Lineage: Bacteria; Pseudomonadati; Pseudomonadota; Betaproteobacteria; Nitrosomonadales; Nitrosomonadaceae.
CCGCCUGAGGAGCGCUGCAACGGGCAAAGUCCCGCGAGGCUCGGCAGGGGGAAAUCGCAAUAACGGCGCUCGUUCAUU